RNAcentral lists this unclassified non-coding RNA (240 nucleotides) under Hevea brasiliensis (rubber tree). Lineage: Eukaryota; Viridiplantae; Streptophyta; Magnoliopsida; Malpighiales; Euphorbiaceae. The record is from RNAcentral.
UAAAAGAACAACACACCUUCCAUUCACUCUCUCAUGUUGUCUUCAUGUUCCUCACUCAGAUCAAGAUCCGCAAACAACUCUUCUAAAGACUCCUCUAGUGAUAGGUUGAAUCUCAAAUCGGGGUUCUCUUCCAGAUCUCUACAGAAUUCUUCAUACUCUGAGACCCCAGACUCGUCAACUUCCAUGUUUGUCAAGGAACUUUUGCAUCCAUAGGCAUCCCUAUGCUUCCUCUGAUUGCUU